CACUUUCCUAUACUGCCUGUAUAAUUUUCAAAACACAGAUUUAUCAUUUACCAAGCAAGAAUCAUGUCUUCGUCUUUCACUGCGCAUCUUCAAAAUGGUAAAGAAACUCUAUUGUUUCAUAGUCUGAUUUGUUUUCAAUAGACAAAAAUAUUUUCUUCUAUUAUUCCUUUAUGCAGCUAAGAAACCCCAAAUACCCAACACUGUGAUUCACAAAAUCAGAUGCCCUGAUAAAUUGAACUUACUUAAUCUAAAAUAGAAUAAAAUCAAAUUAGCAACCCAGAAUGAAAUUAGAAGAGGAUUAGAGAUGAAGGUUGGUGAAACAGCGGUUGUCGAAUCGGAGAGGCGAAGGGAGGUGCAACGGCGGCGUUGCUGCUGUGACGGCCGCGCUACUGCCGGCGUUGACCUGGCUGAGAAAGCGAGGGAAGAGAGAGAGGAGGCGGAUGGGCAGUGCUAGAUCUGGACAAGGGGAGGCGGCGGCUGGGCUGUGCUGCUGUCGACGCGGGGGCGGCGAUGGCGAUGCUGCUGCUAGCCGGACGAGCGACAGGGGAGAAGCGUGGUUGUGGCGGUGGCUGGCGGAGGUUUCGCCGGAGGAGGGGGCGCGCGGUGGCGCUGGGUGUGUGCGUUGGUGUAGUGUUAAUUGAGGAAGGAGAGGGUGAUACGUAUAUUAAGAGAGAAAUAAGAAAUUGGGCCUUUUAGGGCCUUAGUUUUUAUUUAAU
This 716-nucleotide long non-coding RNA is filed under the name Salvia miltiorrhiza (redroot sage). RNAcentral describes it as "long non-coding RNA (SMIL_LNC009282)". Lineage: Eukaryota; Viridiplantae; Streptophyta; Magnoliopsida; Lamiales; Lamiaceae. The record is from RNAcentral.